This 206-nucleotide ribosomal RNA is filed under the name uncultured bacterium. RNAcentral's name for it is "partial 16S ribosomal RNA". It matches the Rfam family "Bacterial small subunit ribosomal RNA", at positions 568 to 774 of the family's 1533-position model. The record is from RNAcentral.
CGUCUAGGUGGUUAUGUAAGUCUGAUGUGAAAAUGCAGGGCUCAACUCUGUAUUGCGUUGGAAACUGUGUAACUAGAGUACUGGAGAGGUAAGCGGAACUACAAGUGUAGAGGUGAAAUUCGUAGAUAUUUGUAGGAAUGCCGAUGGGGAAGCCAGCUUACUGGACAGAUACUGACGCUAAAGCGCGAAAGCGUGGGUAGCAAACA